AAGCGGUACGCGAGCUGGGUUCAGAACGUCGUGAGACAGUUCGGUCCCUAUCCGUCGUGGGCGUAGGAAAUUUGAGAGGAGCUGUCCUUAGUACGAGAGGACCGGGAUGGACAUACCUCUGGUGUACCAGUUGUCGUGCCAACGGCAUAGCUGGGUAGCUAUGUAUGGACGGGAUAAGUGCUGAAAGCAUCUAAGCAUGAAGCCCCCCUCAAGAUGAGAUUUCCCAACUUCGGUUAUAAGAUCCCUCGAAGAUGACGAGGUUAAUAGGUUCGAGGUGGAAGCGUGGUGACACGUGGAGCUGACGAAUACUAAUCGAUCGAAGACUUAAUCAA
Molecule: ribosomal RNA, 332 nt
Filed under: Staphylococcus epidermidis NIHLM037
Lineage: Bacteria; Bacillati; Bacillota; Bacilli; Caryophanales; Staphylococcaceae
Also listed under: 1 other name
Description: bacterial LSU rRNA
Rfam family: Bacterial large subunit ribosomal RNA
Source: RNAcentral